This 607-nucleotide ribosomal RNA is filed under the name uncultured bacterium. Its description in RNAcentral is "bacterial SSU rRNA". It matches the Rfam family "Bacterial small subunit ribosomal RNA", at positions 331 to 929 of the family's 1533-position model. The record is from RNAcentral.
CCAGACUCCUACGGGAGGCAGCAGUGGGGAAUCUUCCGCAAUGGGCGCAAGCCUGACGGAGCAACGCCGCGUGAGUGAAGAAGGUCUUCGGAUCGUAAAGCUCUGUUGACGGGGACGAACGUGCGGAGUGCGAACAGCGCUUUGUAAUGACGGUACCUGUCGAGGAAGCCACGGCUAACUACGUGCCAGCAGCCGCGGUAAUACGUAGGUGGCGAGCGUUGUCCGGAAUCAUUGGGCGUAAAGGGAGCGCAGGCGGGCCGGUAAGUCUUACUUAAAAGUGCGGGGCUCAACCCCGUGAUGGGAGAGAAACUAUCGGUCUUGAGUACAGGAGAGGAAAGCGGAAUUCCCAGUGUAGCGGUGAAAUGCGUAGAUAUUGGGAAGAACACCAGUGGCGAAGGCGGCUUUCUGGACUGCAACUGACGCUGAGGCUCGAAAGCCAGGGGAGCGAACGGGAUUAGAUACCCCGGUAGUCCUGGCCGUAAACGAUGGAUACUAGGUGUGGGAGGUAUCGACCCCUACCGUGCCGGAGUUAACGCAAUAAGUAUCCCGCCUGGGGAGUACGGCCGCAAGGCUGAAACUCAAAGGAAUUGACGGGGGCCCGCACAAG